AUGAACGCUGGCGGCGUGCCUAAUACAUGCCAGUCGAGCGAACAGACGAGGAGCUUGCUCCUCUGACGUUAGCGGCGGACGGGUGAGUAACACGUGGAUAACCUACCUAUAAGACUGGGAUAACUUCGGGAAACCGGAGCUAAUACCGGAUAAUAUAUUGAACCGCAUGGUUCAAUAGUGAAAGACGGUUUUGCUGUCACUUAUAGAUGGAUCCGCGCCGCAUGAGCUAGUUGGUAAGGUAACGGCUUACCAAGGCAACGGUGCGCAGCCGGCCGGAGAGGGGGAUGGGCCACACUGGAACUGAGACACGGUCCAGACUCCUACGGGAGGCAGCAGUAGGGAAUCUUCCGCAAUGGGCGAAAGCCUGACGGAGCAGCGCCGCGUGAGUGAUGAAGGUCUUCGGAUCGUAAAACUCUGUUAUUAGGGAAGAACAAAUGUGUAAGUAACUAUGCACGUCUUGACGGUACCUAAUCAGAAAGCCACGGCUAACUACGUG
This 496-nucleotide ribosomal RNA is filed under the name uncultured bacterium. RNAcentral describes it as "partial 16S ribosomal RNA". It matches the Rfam family "Bacterial small subunit ribosomal RNA", at positions 29 to 507 of the family's 1533-position model. The record is from RNAcentral.